RNAcentral lists this ribosomal RNA (491 nucleotides) under uncultured bacterium. RNAcentral describes it as "bacterial SSU rRNA". It matches the Rfam family "Bacterial small subunit ribosomal RNA", at positions 28 to 556 of the family's 1533-position model. The record is from RNAcentral.
UGCGAACGCUGGCGGCAUGGCUAAAACAUGCAAGUCGAACGAGAACCCCGCAAGGGGGGACAGUGGCGAAAGGGUGAGUAAUGCGUUUCUAUGUACCCCGAGGUCGAGGAUAGCCAGGGGAAACUCUGAUUAAUACUCGAUGUGGUCCGCAAGGAUCAAAGGCUUGCCGCCUUGGGGGCAGGGAACGUCCUAUCAGGUAGUUGGUGAGGUAACGGCUCACCAAGCCGAAGACGGGUAGCGGGUGUGAGAGCACGACCCGCCACAUCGGGACUGAGACACUGCCCGGACUCCUACGGGAGGCUGCAGUAACGAAUCUUCCGCAAUGGACGAAAGUCUGACGGAGCAAUGCCGCGUGCAGGAUGAAGCCCUUCGGGGUGUAAACUGCUGUCAGGGUUCAGCAACACAAUGAGCAGAUCCAAAGGAAGAGCCGACUAACUCUGUGCCAGCAGUCGCGGUAAUACAGAGGGCUCGAGCGUUGCGCGGAGUCACGU